RNAcentral lists this transfer RNA (65 nucleotides) under Babras sonorivox. RNAcentral describes it as "tRNA-His". Lineage: Eukaryota; Metazoa; Arthropoda; Insecta; Hemiptera; Cicadidae. The record is from RNAcentral.
ACUUAAUUAGUUUAAUAAAAAACAUUAAAUUGUGGAUUUAAAGAUAUUUAUAUAUAUAUUAGGUC